RNAcentral lists this long non-coding RNA (767 nucleotides) under Aedes aegypti (yellow fever mosquito). Its description in RNAcentral is "lncRNA AAEL027827". The record is from RNAcentral. Lineage: Eukaryota; Metazoa; Arthropoda; Insecta; Diptera; Culicidae.
UUUAUUUUCAUAUUAUGAACAACAUGUUUAAAUAAAUAAAAAAGCAUCAUGCGCCAUUCAUCAAAAUUGAGGAUUGUUGCGCCCCUCGGUUUUUCGUCUCCUUCAGUUUGACAGCCGCGAUUGCGCCUUUUGACCUCGUCCUUCUGUUUCGACUACACGGAGAAAAGCGAUUAUACUAGUUAGCAUGCAUAUUAUUAUUUUUCAAACAUUUUCCUCAUUUAAUCGUUGCGAUACUUAAAAAAUAUUCUCUGGAUUAUUUUAUUUUAUACUUUGUCAUGCAUUUUUCUUUUAUAUAUUUUACCAUGCAUAUGUAGCCACCCAUGCUACUCUUUGGACUUUUGCAAAAUCAAUCUCGUUCUGUUCGGUUACUUAAUUCAUGCUAUUCAAGUAAGUCGCGUCGCGUUCAUUAAAAAUAUCAUAAUAUUCACGAAAAGGUGCCUAAAUACCCCGAGUAUGUUUUCAUCCUGUUCAGCAGCAUGUGAAAACUCUUGGAGACAAAAUAACAAACCAACCUCAAAUAAAGGAAAUCUUCCGAAGUUCCAGCGUGUCGUAAAACUGUACAAAUUACAGCCGAAAAAGCUGUUGAAAGUUGAUUUUGUGCGGAAGAAACCCAUCGCGAUAAUCGUGAAGAAAUCGGAAAAAAAUCGGGACACUAUUCUGGAACUGAAUUCACCGAGCAUGAUGGAUUUUGCGAGAUCGAAGUGGCAUUGCGCAGGAGACCGGAUCAGUCAAUGUCGGGAAGCAAAAUAAAUUUGAAAAAGCAGCUG